Long non-coding RNA from Podarcis raffonei (Aeolian wall lizard), 1076 nucleotides. RefSeq lists it as uncharacterized. Lineage: Eukaryota; Metazoa; Chordata; Lepidosauria; Squamata; Lacertidae. The transcript has 4 exons. The record is from RefSeq and is a predicted model, not a curated record.
GGGAAAGCCCCAGGAUAGGAUGGAAUUUCAACAGAACUGCUGAAAGUUGGCCUCAACUCCUCCUUAGCCUUCUCUUGCAGUGUUGGAAAACAGAAUCUGUCCCACAAGACAUGGGUAACUCCAGCAUUGUGACCCUCUACAAGAACAAAAGUGACGGUCACGACUGUAACAACUACUGUGAAACCUCCCUGCUGAGUACUGUGGGGAAAGCCUUGGGUCAUGCAGCUCUCAACAGAUCACGGUCACUUGCUGACAGGAUCUAUCCUAAGUCACAAUGCAAUUUGGGGCUCAGAGGUUAAAAGCUGACAUGAUUUUCUCACUGUGCCAGCUGCAGGAGAAAUGCCAAGAACAGAGACGCCCCCUUGUACAUCACCUUCAUAGACCUGAAGGUGUUUGACUCCCAUACUUAUCAAAAGAUGCUCUGAGAAGACUCUGAGAAGCCCAGUAAAGUGUGACUUAUGUGGAUUACCCUAUAAUAGAUUGGUAUUUGGAGAAGGUUGCCUAGCUUGGUUGGUGGAAAAUCAACUUCUCAUUCUACUUGUUUUGAAUUGAUCAAAGAUGCUUACUACAGCAGCUUCAAGCAUCAAACAACAUCUUUGAUGGUCCAAGGAGGCACUCUCCAUAUUGUAUGGUUGAGUUUUUUCACUGUUCAUAGAAAAGCAAGGAUUCAUAUAUCUGAACAUCUGGAGUUUGCCCAUUUCCAUACUUCCUCGCUUGUUUGUGCUUUAUUGAUUGGCAGCAGCCAUUUUUGGGCAGAAACCAAGCAAGGAAGGAGAGAGCAAGAUCAGACUAUUCAGGGAACAGGAGAAAAUGGACAGAUCAGUUUUUCCUUUGACUCUCUUUUGUUGGCUGACUGCAGCCAUUUCAGGAAGAAAUUAUUGAAAAGGAGGAGAAAGAGCUUGGGUAAAUCCCAACCUUACAUGAAGACUGGAUGCCUUACAUGAUAUCCAGGAGGACACCAUGGUGAAAGGCACUGAAAGAUCAAGCAACAAUGAGCACAUGUAUUUCAGAUGAGCCACCUAUGAAUCAGUUAAAAGGCAAGUGAUUAAUAAAAUAAAACUUGUUUAUUCUGUUGA